AAAGGGAAGAAACAGAGAAGGGUUUGAAGCAGGAAUGCCAGCGAAAUGGACACAUGAACAGCAUACAAGGGGAAACUGUGGUCACCGUUUUCUAUCUCAGCUUCGUAAUUCUGACAUCAAGCAUCUUCACAUCUCUGGCACCUCCUUGAUCCCAGCUUCAGCACGAUCAAGAUCUACAAGUCUUGAAGGCUGCAUAUUCCUUUUUUUGCCAUCCCAAUGACUAACUGGAGAGUGGAGGAUUUAAUGAAGCCCAGCCCAUGGAGCAGAGACUUGCUGUCUGUUCACCAAAUGGUUCUCUGAGAAGAUGGGCGGCAGAACAUCCAACCCCAGAGCAAUCCUUGCUCACCUCACCACACGGCUCGGAAGCACCGACCACCAUGUUGGGCAGUACUGCAGGAAACAGCAGAGUACACUCCACUUUCCUAAACUAUACCACAUGCAAGCAAUGCCACGGUUAAUCGGAUCAGUCGAAGCUUAAACAUCACCUCACAGGAGUCCAGGUCCACAUGUGGCUUCUGACAACCGACGUGACUGAGCUGAGACCUUUGUCCCUCCACCAGCACUGCUCUGCCAAACGAACUUCCUUUUUCCUGUCAGGGACUUUACCAUGUUCAUCACAGCACAGGCCACAACUCCUGGCAUCUCCUUAUUCUGGCAGCUACAUCAACCGGUUCCUUCUUCCUGCUUUUUGCUUUUUCUAAUCAGCCUAGCUCCGGCCUUCAUUACCACCGAGUUAGGUGGGACACAAGCCACGUGUUAUUUAUGAAGGAGACAGCACAUGUCUCUCCCGGUCUACCAGCUAUCCAGCGGGAAUAUUUUGGGGCCUACGGGAGUGACAAAACCUGCCCCUCCACAGUGGCCGGGUGUCACCACGGCCACCCUGCCUGUCAUUCAAGCCACAGCGCCCAGCUUCCAUGUCACCCGCUGCUCCACGGUGCCGCCUCACCUGCGGCAGGCUCACACUCCGGAGGGGCAGCGGGGCAGCUCGCUACUGGGGUCACGGGCACCCACAUAUUAGCGACCUGCCCAGCGACGACGGGGCGGCCCCGGCAGCCCAGACCGGUGACAUUCCCCAGCAAUUUCCUCACUGUCCCUGCCGGGAAGGCCGCACUUGUCAUAGGGGCAGAAGGGCGCCAUCCCCACGGGAAGAGUGGCCGGAGGCCUGUCCGUGCGCCCAGGGCCGGGCCCCACGGCUGUGACGGCACC
This is a long non-coding RNA of Corvus hawaiiensis (hawaiian crow), 1206 nucleotides long. RefSeq lists it as uncharacterized. NCBI's taxonomy places the organism in Eukaryota, Metazoa, Chordata, Aves, Passeriformes, Corvidae. The transcript has 3 exons. The record is from RefSeq and is a predicted model, not a curated record.